CGGACGGGUGAGUAAUGUAUGGGGAUCUGCCUGAUGGCGGGGGAUAACUACUGGAAACGGUAGCUAAUACCGCAUAAUGUCUACGGACCAAAGCGGGGGACCUCCGGGCCUCGCGCCAUCGGAUGUGCCCAGAUGGGAUUAGCUAGUAGGUGGGGUAACGGCUCACCUAGGCGACGAUCCCUAGCUGGUCUGAGAGGAUGACCAGCCACACUGGAACUGAGACACGGUCCAG
RNAcentral lists this ribosomal RNA (232 nucleotides) under uncultured bacterium. RNAcentral's name for it is "partial 16S ribosomal RNA". It matches the Rfam family "Bacterial small subunit ribosomal RNA", at positions 99 to 334 of the family's 1533-position model. The record is from RNAcentral.